Molecule: non-coding RNA, 480 nt
Organism: Erythranthe guttata (spotted monkey flower)
Lineage: Eukaryota; Viridiplantae; Streptophyta; Magnoliopsida; Lamiales; Phrymaceae
Source: RefSeq, a predicted model, not a curated record
AAUUAUGAAGCGAUUUCUAGAAGACCCACUUUCCAACCACAAAAGUUGUCUUUUGCCAUUCUCCUUGAUUCUCUCUUCUCUCAGCAAAAUUCAAGGAAGAAAAAUCAUCCCACUCUCACCAUCUGCCCGUCAAAGCUGCUAGGAUAGGCCUAGGGCUUCUUCUUGCAUUGGUCUUCAACCAAGUUACACAGAUUUCUUAUGGGGAAAUCAAAGGGGAAGAAAAGCAAGAGCAGUGAUCCAGGAUGGAAACAUUACCAAAAGAUUGAUGAAGGAAACAUGCGAGUAAGAUCAUUUAGCAGGAACUAGAAAAAAUGUUGAACUAUGUACAAAAUGUUCUGAAGAAAUUCGAAAUUAUUUUUUAAAUUAUCUGGAAAGUCAAAAAACGAAAGAAGAUUAUGAGGAUGAUGGAAAUUUUGUUGAAGAUGAUGUUGGUGAAAUUCCUGGAAAAAGAAAAAGACGAACAAGUGAUUAAUGACAUUA